RNAcentral lists this ribosomal RNA (1419 nucleotides) under Enterococcus durans. Its description in RNAcentral is "bacterial SSU rRNA". It matches the Rfam family "Bacterial small subunit ribosomal RNA". The record is from RNAcentral. Lineage: Bacteria; Bacillati; Bacillota; Bacilli; Lactobacillales; Enterococcaceae.
UCGUACGCUUCUUUUUCCACCGGAGCUUGCUCCACCGGAAAAAGAAGAGUGGCGAACGGGUGAGUAACACGUGGGUAACCUGCCCAUCAGAAGGGGAUAACACUUGGAAACAGGUGCUAAUACCGUAUAACAAUCGAAACCGCAUGGUUUUGAUUUGAAAGGCGCUUUCGGGUGUCGCUGAUGGAUGGACCCGCGGUGCAUUAGCUAGUUGGUGAGGUAACGGCUCACCAAGGCCACGAUGCAUAGCCGACCUGAGAGGGUGAUCGGCCACAUUGGGACUGAGACACGGCCCAAACUCCUACGGGAGGCAGCAGUAGGGAAUCUUCGGCAAUGGACGAAAGUCUGACCGAGCAACGCCGCGUGAGUGAAGAAGGUUUUCGGAUCGUAAAACUCUGUUGUUAGAGAAGAACAAGGAUGAGAGUAACUGUUCAUCCCUUGACGGUAUCUAACCAGAAAGCCACGGCUAACUACGUGCCAGCAGCCGCGGUAAUACGUAGGUGGCAAGCGUUGUCCGGAUUUAUUGGGCGUAAAGCGAGCGCAGGCGGUUUCUUAAGUCUGAUGUGAAAGCCCCCGGCUCAACCGGGGAGGGUCAUUGGAAACUGGGAGACUUGAGUGCAGAAGAGGAGAGUGGAAUUCCAUGUGUAGCGGUGAAAUGCGUAGAUAUAUGGAGGAACACCAGUGGCGAAGGCGGCUCUCUGGUCUGUAACUGACGCUGAGGCUCGAAAGCGUGGGGAGCAAACAGGAUUAGAUACCCUGGUAGUCCACGCCGUAAACGAUGAGUGCUAAGUGUUGGAGGGUUUCCGCCCUUCAGUGCUGCAGCUAACGCAUUAAGCACUCCGCCUGGGGAGUACGACCGCAAGGUUGAAACUCAAAGGAAUUGACGGGGGCCCGCACAAGCGGUGGAGCAUGUGGUUUAAUUCGAAGCAACGCGAAGAACCUUACCAGGUCUUGACAUCCUUUGACCACUCUAGAGAUAGAGCUUCCCCUUCGGGGGCAAAGUGACAGGUGGUGCAUGGUUGUCGUCAGCUCGUGUCGUGAGAUGUUGGGUUAAGUCCCGCAACGAGCGCAACCCUUAUUGUUAGUUGCCAUCAUUUAGUUGGGCACUCUAGCAAGACUGCCGGUGACAAACCGGAGGAAGGUGGGGAUGACGUCAAAUCAUCAUGCCCCUUAUGACCUGGGCUACACACGUGCUACAAUGGGAAGUACAACGAGUCGCGAAGUCGCGAGGCUAAGCUAAUCUCUUAAAGCUUCUCUCAGUUCGGAUUGUAGGCUGCAACUCGCCUACAUGAAGCCGGAAUCGCUAGUAAUCGCGGAUCAGCACGCCGCGGUGAAUACGUUCCCGGGCCUUGUACACACCGCCCGUCACACCACGAGAGUUUGUAACACCCGAAGUCGGUGAGGUAACCUUUGGAGCCAGCC